This 1417-nucleotide ribosomal RNA is filed under the name metagenome. RNAcentral describes it as "bacterial SSU rRNA". It matches the Rfam family "Bacterial small subunit ribosomal RNA". The record is from RNAcentral.
CCGCUGACGAGUGGCGAACGGGUGAGUAAUAUAUCGGAACGUACCAUUCAGUGGGGGAUAACGUAGCGAAAGUUACGCUAAUACCGCAUAUUCUGUGAGCAGGAAAGCAGGGGAUCGCAAGACCUUGCGCUGAUUGAGCGGCCGAUAUCAGAUUAGCUUGUUGGUGAGGUAAAAGCUCACCAAGGCGACGAUCUGUAGCGGGUCUGAGAGGAUGAUCCGCCACACUGGAACUGAGACACGGUCCAGACUCCUACGGGAGGCAGCAGUGGGGAAUUUUGGACAAUGGGGGCAACCCUGAUCCAGCCAUGCCGCGUGAGUGAAGAAGGCCUUCGGGUUGUAAAGCUCUUUCAGCCGGGAAGAAAACGCAUGGGUUAAUACCCUGUGUGGAUGACGGUACCGGAAUAAGAAGCACCGGCUAACUACGUGCCAGCAGCCGCGGUAAUACGUAGGGUGCGAGCGUUAAUCGGAAUUACUGGGCGUAAAGCGUGCGCAGGCGGUUUUGUAAGACAGGCGUGAAAUCCCCGGGCUUAACCUGGGAACUGCGUUUGUGACUGCAAGGCUAGAGUACGGCAGAGGGGGGUGGAAUUCCACGUGUAGCAGUGAAAUGCGUAGAGAUGUGGAGAACACCAAUGGCGAAGGCAGCCCCCUGGGUCGAUACUGACGCUCAUGCACGAAAGCGUGGGUAGCAAACAGGAUUAGAUACCCUGGUAGUCCACGCCCUAAACGAUGUCAACUAGGUGUUGGGAGGGUAAAACCUUUUAGUACCGGAGCUAACGCGUGAAGUUGACCGCCUGGGGAGUACGGCCGCAAGGUUAAAACUCAAAGGAAUUGACGGGGACCCGCACAAGCGGUGGAUGAUGUGGAUUAAUUCGAUGCAACGCGAAAAACCUUACCUACCCUUGACAUGCCAAGAACUUUCCAGAGAUGGAUUGGUGCCCGAAAGGGAACUUGGACGCAGGUGCUGCAUGGCUGUCGUCAGCUCGUGUCGUGAGAUGUUGGGUUAAGUCCCGCAACGAGCGCAACCCUUGUCGUUAAUUGCCAUCAUUUAGUUGGGCACUUUAACGAGACUGCCGGUGACAAACCGGAGGAAGGUGGGGAUGACGUCAAGUCCUCAUGGCCCUUAUGGGUAGGGCUUCACACGUCAUACAAUGGUCGGUACAAAGGGUCGCCAAGCCGCGAGGUGGAGCCAAUCCCAGAAAGCCGAUCGUAGUCCGGAUCGCAGUCUGCAACUCGACUGCGUGAAGUCGGAAUCGCUAGUAAUCGUGGAUCAGAAUGUCACGGUGAAUACGUUCCCGGGUCUUGUACACACCGCCCGUCACACCAUGGGAGCGGGUUCCGCCAGAAGUAGGUAGCCUAACCGCAAGGAGGGCGCUUACCACGGCGGGGUUCGUGACUGGGGUGAAGUCGAAACAAGGUA